Leopardus geoffroyi (Geoffroy's cat) is the source of this 5941-nucleotide long non-coding RNA. RefSeq lists it as uncharacterized. The transcript is spliced from 3 exons. NCBI's taxonomy places the organism in Eukaryota, Metazoa, Chordata, Mammalia, Carnivora, Felidae. The record is from RefSeq and is a predicted model, not a curated record.
UGUCACAUUUCCACGAAAUCCUCAAAAGGAGGCAAAAGCAAGUGUCAUUGGAUAAGUUCCUUGUUAAAGUUGCAUGAAAAGAAAAAGAUUCCAUUGAGAUAGCAGUGAUUCCCUUAGUGACAGUGAAAAUUGUCCUACACAAUAAUCCUCCUCUCUCUUGUCUCCCUCACACCAGCCACGAAGGUUUUCAAAAGUAAGUGCAGGUUAGGGUACCUGGGUGGCUCAGUUGGUUAAGUGUCCAACUUCGGCUUGGGUCAUGAUCUCGUGGUUCGUGGGUUUGAGCCCCACAUUGGGCUCUAUGCUGACAGUUCAGAACCUAGAACCUACUUCAGAUUCUGUGUCUCCCUCUCUGCCCCUCCCCUAAAAUAAAUAGCCAUUAAAAAAAAAAUUUAAGUGCAUUAAUUUGUUUUUCUUUAUACUGUAUAUUUUCUUUAUUAUUUUGUAUUUUAUUACAGUAUUGUAAUCAUUUUUAUAUGAAUAUUUUUAGGUUGUAGAAUGAAUUAUAUGAGUUUCCAUUAUUUCUUAUGGGGAAAUUUCGCUUCGAUAUACAAGUGCUUUGGAUUACAAGCAUGUUUCUGGAACGAAUUACACUCACAAACCGAGGUUUUACUGUACUUCUAUAAGGCACCUAAAAUAGUCAAAUUCAUAGAGACAGAAAGUAGACUAGUGGUUACCUGGGGCAGGGGAAGAAGGGGCUGGAGAAUUAUUGUUUAACAGCCACAGAAUUUCAGUGUGGGAUGAUGAUAAAGUUCUGGGGAUGGAUGGUGGUAAUGGUUGCACAACAGAGUGAACAUUGUUAAUGCCACUGAACUAUACAUUUAAUGAUGAUAAAUUUUAUGUAUAUUUUUACCACAGUAAAAAUAAAUAUUUUCUUUAAAAGGAAAGUAGUUGAAAUGUGAGUUCUUUGAGGACCAGUAUUACAUCUUAUUCAGCCUAGUACCUCGCAUAUAGUAGAUGCUCUAGAAUAUUUGUUGAGUAAAUAGACAAUUAUCAACUGGUUGCUGUAAACACACUAGUUAUAUAGAGAUUAAUGUAUGUGUUACUUAGAGAAUUAGAGUAAGUAGAAAAUUCAGUAUUUCAAAUUGCCACUCUUAAAAUAUAAUUUAACACUAAUAUUUCUUUUUCUUUUAUUUCCUUUGUGGAGCUUUUGUUUGGUUGGUUGAUUGGUUGGUUUGUGUUUUUUAAUUUUUUUUUUUUUUACAUUUAUUUAUUUUUGAGAGACAGAGAGAGAGCAUGAGAGGAGGAGGGGCAGAGAGAGGGAGACACAGAAUCCGAAGGAGGCUCCAGGCUCUGAGCUGUAAGCACAGAGCCCAACGCGGGGCGCGAACUCACGAAAAAUGAGAUCAUGACCUGAGCCGAAAUCUGACGCUCAAUUGACUGAGCCACCCAGGCGCCCCUAUUGGUUGGUUUGUGGUUUUAAAUAAAAUUGAUGAAAGUUUGUUGGUCACAAUCUUUUUAGGUGAAAUACUGAGAGAUGAAAAGGACUGUUUCUUCCUGGAGAAAUGCAGAUCAUUUAGAUAUUAAUGAAAGUUCUGCAUUCACCUGCUGAAUGAGAGCUUUCACAUAUUUUGGUACUUUUUGCAUAUUUUUGCAAAGAAAGAAAUAUGACCCCCUAAUUAAAAGCUGCUGUAAUCAUUUUAAGAGAUGAAACACAGAGAUCUUAACUAUAUUACAAUAAAGUAUCUACAGAUUAGAAGCCUUGUCAUUCCACUAGAAGUAAAGGAAGUAAUUUCAUAAAGCUACUAGCCUAACAAAUAUUGAAAAUACUCAGAUUUGUUAGUAAAUGUCCUGUAUGAUUACUUUGUGUCAGGCAUUCCUGGGUGAAUGGCAGAAGGUAUACUUACAUGGACAAUUUCAUAAGUGAUUUCAAAUCAAUCUAUAAUCUAGGUCCCUUUCUCUUCUUAAAUAUCCUGUUCCCCAAAUCCAUCUAUCCACUUUUAUCUCUAGCAGCUACGAUUUGCUAUUUACAUAAAGAGACAGUUUAGAUUUGGCUGCUUCCCCUUAUGAUUUAUUUUUACUCCAGUCAUUUUGUAAGAAUAUCUUCAAAUAAGCAAAGAUUUUGAGCCAAGGAUAUUGACAGAUUUAAUUAGCUUUGAUUAUUGCAAGUCCCCCAAGAAAUAAUAAUUGGCCAGUCCUGGCCAAUGACUAAGCAUGGCAGGAGCUUUAUUGAGCAGUGAAACGCAACUGACUGAGCAAUGCAGCUUCAUUGUAGAAAUAUUUGGGACUCCUCUAAUGGGUAGCUUUGGCUUGAGGAUCAUCCAUCAGCCUACCUGAAACCCUCAGAACUGUGCUGCAGUCUGAGAUAAUGCCUACUCAUCCUUUCUUUUCCCUCUCCUUCAUAACUCAGAAUGUGACUGUAUUUGGAUGUAGGUCCUUUAUAAAGGCAAUUAAGAUGUCAGGGUGAACCCUAAUCCAAUCUGACUAGUGUCCUUGUAAGGAGGAAUUUGAACACCCAGAAAGACGCUGAGGGCAUGUGUGCAGAGGAAGUGCAUGUGAGGAUACAGCAAGAAGGUGGCCAUCUACAAUCCAAGGGAGAUGCCUCAGAAGAAACCAAUCCUGCUGAUAUCUUGAUCUUGGACUUCUACACUCCACAACUGUGAGAAAUACAUUUCUGUUGUUUAUGCUAUCCAGUCUGCGGUACUGUAUUUUGUAAUGGCGGCCCUAGCUAUGCCAAAUACCACCUUGGCAGCUGCUCAGAGGGUCCAAACUAACACAAGUGGUACCAAGAGAGGUCCAAAAACAAAAAACAGAAACAAAAGAAAGCUAGAAAAUAAAAUGAAGUUUCAGAACUGGCUCACUCACUAUCUGGUGGGCAAAGACAAUAUUAUCGUGAGUAGUGUACGGACAUGGAUACUUCCCAGCACAAGGUGGUGACCAGGCGCUAAAGAUUUCAUCAGUGGUGGCCUGGGAAAACAUCCCAGUGGAGGAGAAGGAAAAGAAUAUAAUUUCAGGCAUUUGAAAUGCAUGGGGGUCGGGGAGGGCAAUGCCUACAAGGACAAUGGAGUUGGCCGGUUACUGCUAAGUUGUAUAGACACUCAGGCAGGAUAACGAAAAAGCAAAGGUCCCCCUUGAUUAAUAGCCAAGUAUGAGAGACAAGAGGACCUCUUUAGUAACUUACAAAAAGGCUUUUAUCUCUAUAGUGGAAGACCUGACACAGUUAUGCCACAAACUUGGGACAUGAUAGAGGCACAGAGCCCCAAAGACAUUUAAAUAUGUAGCCAAAGCUGGUCAGGGCCCUGGCUGAAAAUGCCUGAACGCCUGAAACAAGGGAUGGGACAUCUGUAUGCACAACCGUAAGGAUCUUAGCUCUGUAGGCCCUCGUGAACUUUGAAAGCUUGCAGAGAUAGUCUACCUCUUCGUAGUAAGAACUAGUACUUCCUCCAUGCUCAAAGACACUACAGAGCCACUCCUUCUCUACUGGCUACUAUGCUAAUAAAUGGAAUCAAAUCCUAGCAUAACCAAGCUGAAAACCUGCCUGACCUAAUAAAGGAGGAAAGAGAUCCUAUACAAAGGAGCUGUAAAAAUUAGCAUAUACAAACAAGUCAGAGGAGUUUUGAGGUUGCUUGAUCAUGGGGGCUGGAAUAUUAGACUAGAUAAUCAAGAAUUCAUUGACAGCACUUUCUUCUCGGGAUUUAACACUGCAUGGACUCUUACGGAGGAUGUAACAAACUCAUGGGAGGGAUGGGCGGGGGAAUCUCUUAGAAACCUAGAGAAAGUGAUGGCCAAUGCUGAGCAAAGUAGAAAUGUCUCAGUUGCCCGGGCAUAUGGUAGAAGAAUGAAUUAAAAGACUGGGGGAAGUGGGCAUGCUGGAAUGGAUAUGUGUGAAGCCAGAAGACCCAUCAGAGGAUUCUGUUUCACAGGAGGGCCCAGAAGAUACACCAUUCACCAAGGCCAUCAGAAAUCCUCUGGUAAGGGACACCACCACCAAGAAGUUCUCUGCAUUCCUGAGCUAACAACAGCAGUCACAGAGUUAGGACCCAUUAAUGAUUAUGGGAAAAAUAUUCCCCUUCCCCAAGUAAUAGAGGCCAGAUAGUGGCACUUAGUCACUAGAAGCCAGAAGGCCACAAUUAAAAAGACCAACAACAUUUGACAAGUGGCAGCCAAGAGGGCUUGACUCACAGGGAGUUGUGGAGAUGGAUGUAGAGCUUGGUAUCUCUAGGGGCAAAAUAGGUGGGAAUCCUAUUAACAUCUACAACCCAAAAAAGGCCAAAACGGAGGAGCAGGAGACUGAGGGUGGUUUCAUCCAGAAAGUCAUCGUCCCUUGUUCAGUAUCCCGAUCUGAGCCACUUUUCAGAUCUGAAACUUGUUGACUUAAGAGGCGGCAGAUCCUGCGGCACUGCAGCAAAUCCUUUAGGCUUGGACUGAAACAUCAGCUCUUCUUGGAUCUCGAACCCGCCAACUUUCAGACUGGAAAUCACGCCAUUGGCUUUCCUUGUUCUCAGGCCGUUGGCUUCAGACUGGGAACUACACAUCAGCUCUCCUGGGUCUCCAGCUUGAUGACUGCAGAUCUUGGGACUUCUUGGCCUCCAUACUCAUAUCCCUGGCUAAUACAGAUCUUGACACCAGCCGUGGAAUGUAGCUGUAACAAAUAACUAAAAAUGUGGAAGCUGCUUUGGAACUGGAUAAUGAGUGGAGUUGGAAAAGUUUUAAAGUCCAUGCUACAAAUAUGGACAUUAAGGACAAUUCUGGUGAGACGUCAGAUGGAAAUGAGGAGGACGUUAAUGGAAAUUGUGGGAAAAGUGACCCUUGUUAUAAAGUGGUGAAUAACUUGGCUGAACUGUGUUCUGUCUUGUGCAAGGUAGAAUUUGUGAGUGAUGAAAUUGGAUAUUUAGCUGAGGAGAUUUCUAAGCAAAGUAUUGAAGGAGGGGCUUGGUUCCUCCUGAUUGCUUAUAGUAAAAUGUGAAAGGAGAGAGAUGAAGAAGGAAUUGUUAAGCAAAAAGGAACCAGAACUUGAUGAUUUAGAGAUUUCUCAGCCUACCCAUAUUGAAAAACAUGAGAAAGCAUGUUCUAAAGAAAAUACCAAUGGCACAACUUGAUUAUCACUUGAUAAAGAGUUUAUGGGAUUAUAUGAGCAGAAAUGCAGCCAAUUUGAACUGAAGGGGAUGAAGAUGGGACCAAACAAAGGAAGGCUGUUGGGCUUAUUGAAUUUGACAAGACAGAAUGAUAGAGCUAUUCAGCUGCACACAUGCACUAUUCUGCAAGAAGAGGGGAAAAUGAUGCCGACAGUGAUUAAGAGAUCAUCAGGGCCACUACAGUACCUCAGUUUCAACAGCCUUUGGUGGGGGACUACCCAACAGGACCUUGGGGGUGAUGCUGCCACCUACUGGACCUGGAGGGCAGAGCAUUGAACCAAGGAGGAUUAUUUUAAAGCCUUAAAAUCUGAUGGACUUUGCCUUGCUAAAUUUUGAGCUUGCUUGGGACCAUCACCCCUUUCUUCUCCCUUUUGUAAUGAGAAUGUCUAUCCUAUUACUAUCCCACUAUUGUAUUUUGAAAGUAUAUAACUUGUCUGAUUUCACAGAUUCACAGCUGGAGAGGAAUUUUGCCUCAGGAUGAAUCAUACCUCCAGUCUCACUCUAUCUGAUUUAGAUGAUAUUCAAAUGAGACUUUAGAUGCUGGAAUAAAUUAAGAGCUUUGGAGAUUUGGGGAUGAAAUGAAUGUAUUUUGUGUGCAAUAAUGAUGUGAAUUUUAGGGGGCCACAGGUGGAAUGUUAUAGACUGAAUGUGUCCCCCUCCAAAUUCAUACAUUGAAGCCCUAAUCCCCAAUAUGAUGACAAAGAGGCACCAGAGAGCUCUCUUUCUCUGCCCUGUAAGGAUACAGUGAGAAGGUAGCUGUCUGCAAGUCAGGAAGAGAGCUUUCACCAGAUCCUGAUUAUGCUGGCAUCUUGAUCUCGGACUUCUGGCCUCUAGAACUGUGAGAAAAUAAAUUUCUGUUGUUUAAGCCA